Molecule: ribosomal RNA, 292 nt
Filed under: uncultured bacterium
Lineage: Bacteria
Description: partial 16S ribosomal RNA
Rfam family: Bacterial small subunit ribosomal RNA
Source: RNAcentral
GUGUCAGCAGCCGCGGUAAUACGGAGGAUGCAAGCGUUAUCCGGAAUGAUUGGGCGUAAAGGGUCCGCAGGUGGCAAUGUGUGUCUGCUGUCAAAGAAUGAGGCUUAACCUCAUCAAGGCAGUGGAAACUACAUAGCUAGAGUACGGUCGGGGUAGAAGGAAUUCCUGGUGUAGCGGUGAAAUGCGUAGAGAUCAGGAAGAACACCGGUGGCGAAAGCGUUCUGCUAGACCUGUACUGACACUGAGGGACGAAAGCUAGGGGAGCGAAUGGGAUUAGAUACCCCGGUAGUCC